This is a small nuclear RNA of Dromiciops gliroides (monito del monte), 123 nucleotides long. The record is from RefSeq and is a predicted model, not a curated record. NCBI's taxonomy places the organism in Eukaryota, Metazoa, Chordata, Mammalia, Microbiotheria, Microbiotheriidae.
GUGAUAUAUGAAAAGAGAAAAGCUUAGCACUCCCCUUGAUAAAUAUGGAAGAGGUCCUAGUGGCAUUUACAACACAUAUGGUUAAGGCAUCGUCACCUGCUCUGUGGCAUAUAGUUCAAUUCA